CUUAUCUAUAAAAGAAGCAAGAUUAGAGUAUUUAUAAAGUGUUGUCUAACUCUAAAUCCUAUAAUCCUAUAGACUAUGGAGCCUGAACUAAAGUAAUUGUCACUUCUAGGUCAACUGGCAUUGGUUAAGUAUAGGUUGCCAGCUGCAACACUUACAGAGAAGCAGCUAUGUAGAGAAAUCAACAGCAAAGAGCAGAGCAGCAAACAAGGCAUGACUGAGGCAGAGAGGCAAAACCAGUGGCAUACUAGGUUGUGACAUCAAGAAAAUGGAGACAGCAACAAAAACUGAGAUACAGGAUGGAUCAUUUGUACUGGAAGAAAAUGAAAGAGCUAGAACAAUGGCAAAAUAUGGAGAAGUAUGUCUGCUUUCUGAGUGGCCUGAUAGUUUGGCCCCUUGGACCUCCCCUGCCAGAGCCCAUUGGUGGAUAUUUUGAAAAAGGAUGUGGAUUUAAAGACUACAAAUCCUCCCUCAUUACUUCAUCAAAGAGAGCACUCUGGAAAAGAGGCAGCCAGAAGAUUUUCUGCAACUAG
This 530-nucleotide long non-coding RNA is filed under the name Monodelphis domestica (gray short-tailed opossum). RNAcentral describes it as "lncRNA (ENSMODG00000039460.1)". Lineage: Eukaryota; Metazoa; Chordata; Mammalia; Didelphimorphia; Didelphidae. The record is from RNAcentral.